This 253-nucleotide ribosomal RNA is filed under the name uncultured bacterium. Its description in RNAcentral is "partial 16S ribosomal RNA". It matches the Rfam family "Bacterial small subunit ribosomal RNA", at positions 524 to 776 of the family's 1533-position model. The record is from RNAcentral.
UACGGAGGGAGCAAGCGUUACUCGGAAUUACUGGGCGUAAAGGGCGCGUAGGCGAUUUUGUAAGUCUUGUGUGAAAGCCCAAAGCCUAACUUUGGAAGUGCACAAGAUACUGCGAGAAUUGAGUUCCGGAGAGGAAGAUGGAAUUCCCGGUGUAGCGGUGAAAUUCGUAGAUAUUCGCAAGAACACCAGUGGCGAAGGCGGCUUACUGGUCCGGUUCUGACGCUGAGGCGCGAAAGCGUGGGGAGCAAACAGG